UACGUAGGGUGCAAGCGUUGUCCGGAAUUAUUGGGCGUAAAGGGCUCGUAGGCGGUCUGUCACGUCGGGAGUGAAAACUCAGGGCUUAACCCUGAGCCUGCUUCCGAUACGGGCAGACUAGAGGUAUGCAGGGGAGAACGGAAUUCCUGGUGUAGCGGUGAAAUGCGCAGAUAUCAGGAAGAACACCCGUGGCGAAGGCGGCUCUCUGGGACGGUACUGACGCUGAGACGCGAAAGCGUGGGGAGCGAACAGG
RNAcentral lists this ribosomal RNA (253 nucleotides) under uncultured bacterium. RNAcentral describes it as "partial 16S ribosomal RNA". It matches the Rfam family "Bacterial small subunit ribosomal RNA", at positions 524 to 776 of the family's 1533-position model. The record is from RNAcentral.